UAUAAAGACCAGAACUGUUGUCAGAAGUACAAUGGCGACGCUGUGCCGAUGAAGCACCAGGUUUUGAUAGAGCUGCAGUCCUGGUAUUGCAAAGAUGUGGGCAAAGUAUUCGACUGGGUAUAGACGCAGGUAGAGCUAAAAUUAUUAUCCAAUCGGAUGCUGGCGCCAUUUGGUGUUUUAUGAUAAAAACCAGCACGAGUCCUUUCACCCUUAGCUUUGUUUCCCAACUAAGAGAAGUCUGAUAAGUGCUAAGGAAGUAAAGAAUGCAGCUGUCAAUGGGCACGAAUUUCUUCAGGGCUUCCCCCAUUCUGCCAUUGCCACUUCACCUCAAGAGCAGCAGAAACCCCAUGGAGCAGGUUUAAAGACCCUACUCCAAAAUGUCUGACCAGUAAGUUUUAUAUUUUUCAGAUUCUUAUUUUGUAAUCCGAAGAUCAAGAGUUGAAAUACUAAUACUCAGUUCCAUUUUCUAGAGUAUUUCUUUACAAAAAGAAUCGCGUUCAUUCUUUCUCAAACUCAGAAAAUCAUGUAAAAAAUUACACUAAUAAUUAUGUUUUGGUUUUUUGAUGCAAGUUAUAUCAGAAUAAUGUUUUUGUUUGCAAAGCUGAUAGACAAUAUCCUCCAAAAGAUUGGUGAUUUUGCAUUUCACUGAACAAUUUUAUUGUAACAUUGUGCUGCAAGUGAUUUUACUCUCUUUGUGAUAUGUGUAUUUAGCAUAUGAUGGGCUCGGAAUUCAUCAUUUAAUGGCUGAUGAUUGCCCUCUAAACAAUGUGAAAAUGUGGGCCAGAUAAAUGCCAUAAAAAACUUGAAAUAUGGGACUUAUCCAUUUAAAUACAUCUAGUUACCUUUUGCCUCAGAUUAAUGAAUAAUGCAUGCUAGAAAAUAAUUUGUGCUUAACCAAGGAUGCCAAUUAGUAAUCAAAGAACUCAGUUUAGUUGCAAUUUAUUUCAAGCAAGGCAUCUUUUGAAUCUAUUAAAAGGACAGAAAGAAUCUUUAAACAUAAAACGUAUGAACAUGAUGCAUUGAAUGGUGGUAAAUUAAGUAUAGUAAAAAAGAAAAUUUUAAUGCAAACAGUCAAUAAAUCAAUGUGAAACUUGAUGCUGUUUGUUUCUUGAAAGUUUCUCAAUAUUGGGUGUCAGACUUGUUGAUGCCAAGAGCAAGACAUUAUCCAGAUGGGCAUCAGUCAAUCUUGUUCUCAAAUGGGUCUUGGUGUGCUUCAUUUUUGAAAAUAAUUGCUCACACAGAUAAGUGCUGCCAAACAAUGAUGCCAUCUUAUUUUCAUGGUCCACUAAGUUAGGAUACUUUCCACUUGGAUGAAUAUAUAUUUCUAUAGAAGUCAAGUACUGACACAUUUUCAGAAUGAAAUUUCGAUCUCAAUAUCAAUUCCAUUUGAAAAAUUUAUGAUGCAGUGUCCACUUCCACAUCAAAUAGAGUAGCAAGCAACUUGAACUCAUUUCAAAAUCAGCAAAACGAAAUGAAAACUCUUUUCUCAAUUCAUGGACCAUAUUCAAAAAAAUGCCUGGAUCUUGUACUUUACUUUUUUGAAAAGUGGGAAAAUGCGUCCAAGCGUCUUGGAAAUUUCGGCACUUAGUGUCUACUUUCCUGCGUUUUGCAUUCAUUGCCAUUGGAAUUUUUUUCUUCGAUUUUAUUUUGAAACUUGAGUUAUUCAACAAGUAUCGUAGCACAUGUAAAUAUCUGGAUAUUUAGCGUGGAUUUCUUGUUAAAACACAGUGACACUGUUUCUGUUUACAAAUUUGAAUGAUCCCAUCAGAAAACCUGCGUGUGCACGGAGAGUAUCUAAUACAUAUUAAUAAGGUAGUCUGCCUUCUCGUCAUUCGUAUAUACCAGUGUUUGGUUUGGAACAAAACGGAACCUGGGGCCAGUGUAACAAGACGCCAUGCAUGUCCAUCAAUGUGGUUGCGUGAAACAUUCAGAAUAAGGAAAAAUCGCUCGCGGGCCGGAUAAGCAUAGUAUCCCAAUAUUUGCUCACGGGCCGAUCAAAAUACCUUCGCAGGCCGGAUCUGGCCGGUGGGCCACAGGUUGCCUACCCCUGUUUUAAACUUACAUUUCACUUUAAAAAUGGUUCGACUCGUGGCUAUGCCUGGUGUGUGCAAGAAUUAAGGUAGCCAAAUAUGUGUCGAAUGGAGAUUUUAAAAGGCCAAACAUUGUCAAUGUUUGUUGACCAAACUUUGUCAAUAGUCUGGUCCAUGGUAAGAGCAUGUAUUUCUCAUAACCUGAAAGAACAAAUGUAAGACUAAUCCAUAUCUUUUGAACAUUUGCCCAAAUCACCAUAUAAGUGAGCAGUUAAUCAAAGUUAUGAACAGAAAUUUGAGUGAUUAGGAUCACCUCUAUAUUUUUACUAUAUUUGAAAUACUAUGUAUUUGGAAUACUCCAAUUAUGACGUAUUCUCUAAUGCACAUAUUUUCUUUCUCUCUCUUUCUCUUUUAGGGAAGAGGUAAGGGAUAUUAACAAACUUCAAGGUUUUCUCCAUAGCAAUUGUAUUUUUGAUUAUCCGCAUGUUUUAAUAUCUAAUUUGAAUCCGUUUGGAUGGCCUACCUGA
Mobula hypostoma (lesser devil ray) is the source of this 2557-nucleotide long non-coding RNA. RefSeq lists it as uncharacterized. The transcript has 4 exons. The record is from RefSeq and is a predicted model, not a curated record. Lineage: Eukaryota; Metazoa; Chordata; Chondrichthyes; Myliobatiformes; Myliobatidae.